GGGGAUUUAGCUCAGUGGUAGAGUGCUUGCCUAGCAAGCACAAGGCCCUGGGUUCGAUCCUCAGCUCCA
Molecule: non-coding RNA, 69 nt
Organism: Rattus norvegicus (Norway rat)
Lineage: Eukaryota; Metazoa; Chordata; Mammalia; Rodentia; Muridae
Source: Rfam